This 881-nucleotide ribosomal RNA is filed under the name uncultured Chloroflexota bacterium. RNAcentral describes it as "bacterial SSU rRNA". It matches the Rfam family "Bacterial small subunit ribosomal RNA", at positions 28 to 896 of the family's 1533-position model. The record is from RNAcentral. Lineage: Bacteria; Bacillati; Chloroflexota.
GAUGAACGCUGGCGGCGUGCCUGAUACAUGCAAGUCGAACGGACCAGCAACCGGCGACUGGCUAAUGGCUUCGGCCUGCAGCCAAGAGCCCUGCUGGUUAGUGGCGGACGGGUGAGUAACACGUAGGUGACCUGCCCCGAAGUGGGGGACAACUACUGGAAACGGUAGCUAAUACCCCAUGUGAUCCGUCAUUCGGUUGGCGGAUUAAAGCUCCGGCGCUUCGGGAUGGGCCUGCGGCCGAUUAGCUAGUUGGUAGGGUAAUGGCCUACCAAGGCGAUGAUCGGUAGCUGGUCUGAGAGGAUGGUCAGCCACACUGGCACUGAGAUACGGGCCAGACUCCUACGGGAGGCAGCAGUAAGGGAUAUUGCGCAAUGGGGGAAACCCUGACGCAGCAACGCCGCGUGGGCGAUGAAGGUCUUCGGAUUGUAAAGCCCUUUUAUGGGGGAUGAGAAAGGACAGUACCUCAGGAAUAAGUCUCGGCUAACUACGUGCCAGCAGCCGCGGUAAAACGUAGGAGGCAAGCGUUAUCCGGAUUUAUUGGGCGUAAAGGGCGUCUAGGCGGUGUCUUAAGUUGGGCGUGAAAUCUCCCGGCUCAACUGGGAGGGGCCGUUCAAUACUGAGACACUUGAGGGCAGGAGAGGAAAGUGGAAUUCCCGGUGUAGUGGUGGAAUACUUAGAUAUCGGGAGGAACACCAGUGGCGAAGGCGGCUUUCUGGCCUGCACCUGACGCUGAAGCGCGAAAGCGUGGGUAGCGAACGGGAUUAGAUACCCCGGUAGUCCACGCCGUAAACGAUGGAUACUAGGUGUUGGUGGUAUUGACCCCAUCAGUGCCGUAGUUAACGCGUUAAGUAUCCCGCCUGGGGACUACGGCCGCAAGGCUA